This 1018-nucleotide ribosomal RNA is filed under the name uncultured bacterium. RNAcentral's name for it is "bacterial SSU rRNA". It matches the Rfam family "Bacterial small subunit ribosomal RNA", at positions 357 to 1376 of the family's 1533-position model. The record is from RNAcentral.
AGGAAUAUUGGUCAAUGGGCGAGAGCCUGAACCAGCCAAGUAGCGUGCAGGAUGACGGCCCUAUGGGUUGUAAACUGCUUUUAUAAGGGAAUAAAGUUAGUCUCGUGAGACUUUUUGCAUGUACCUUAUGAAUAAGGACCGGCUAAUUCCGUGCCAGCAGCCGCGGUAAUACGGAAGGUCCGGGCGUUAUCCGGAUUUAUUGGGUUUAAAGGGAGCGUAGGCCGGAGAUUAAGCGUGUUGUGAAAUGUAGACGCUCAACGUCUGCACUGCAGCGCGAACUGGUUUCCUUGAGUACGCACAAAGUGGGCGGAAUUCGUGGUGUAGCGGUGAAAUGCUUAGAUAUCACGAAGAACUCCGAUUGCGAAGGCAGCUCACUGGAGCGCAACUGACGCUGAAGCUCGAAAGUGCGGGUAUCGAACAGGAUUAGAUACCCUGGUAGUCCGCACGGUAAACGAUGGAUGCCCGCUGUUGGUCUGAACAGGUCAGCGGCCAAGCGAAAGCAUUAAGCAUCCCACCUGGGGAGUACGCCGGCAACGGUGAAACUCAAAGGAAUUGACGGGGGCCCGCACAAGCGGAGGAACAUGUGGUUUAAUUCGAUGAUACGCGAGGAACCUUACCCGGGCUUGAAUUGCAGAGGAAGGAUUUGGAGACAAUGACGCCCUUCGGGGUCUCUGUGAAGGUGCUGCAUGGUUGUCGUCAGCUCGUGCCGUGAGGUGUCGGCUUAAGUGCCAUAACGAGCGCAACCCCUCUCCUUAGUUGCCAUCAGGUCAAGCUGGGCACUCUGGGGACACUGCCACCGUAAGGUGUGAGGAAGGUGGGGAUGACGUCAAAUCAGCACGGCCCUUACGUCCGGGGCUACACACGUGUUACAAUGGCAGGUACAGAGAGACGGUCCCUUGCAAAAUGGAUCAAAUCCUUAAAGCCUGUCUCAGUUCGGACUGGGGUCUGCAACCCGACCCCACGAAGCUGGAUUCGCUAGUAAUCGCGCAUCAGCCAUGGCGCGGUGAAUACGUUCCCG